This 568-nucleotide ribosomal RNA is filed under the name Hanseniaspora occidentalis var. occidentalis. RNAcentral describes it as "eukaryotic LSU rRNA". It matches the Rfam family "Eukaryotic large subunit ribosomal RNA", at positions 62 to 648 of the family's 3401-position model. Lineage: Eukaryota; Fungi; Ascomycota; Saccharomycetes; Saccharomycodales; Saccharomycodaceae. The record is from RNAcentral.
AAACCAACCGGGAUUGCCUCAGUAACGGCGAGUGAGCGGCAAAAGCUCAAAUUUGAAAUCUGGCACUUUCAGUGUCCGAGUUGUAAUUUGUAGAAGUAGUUUUGGGACUGGUCCUUAUCUAUGUUUCUUGGAACAGGACGUCAUAGAGGGUGAGAACCCCGUAUGAUGAGGCCCCCAGUCCUUUGUAAAACGCUUUCGAAGAGUCGAGUUGUUUGGGAAUGCAGCUCUAAGUGGGUGGUAAAUUCCAUCUAAAGCUAAAUAUUGGCGAGAGACCGAUAGCGAACAAGUACAGUGAUGGAAAGAUGAAAAGAACUUUGAAAAGAGAGUGAAAAAGUACGUGAAAUUGUUGAAAGGGAAGGGCAUUUGAUCAGACAUGGUGUUUUGCGCCCUUUGCUCCUUGUGGGCGGAGGAUACGCAGCUCACUGGGCCAACAUCAGUUUUGGGAGCAGGAUAAAUCUGUAGGAACGUAGCUUUCUUCGGGAAGUGUUAUAGCCUAUGGGAAUACUGCUACCUGGGACUGAGGACUGCGUCUUUUGACAAGGAUGUUGGCAUAAUGGUUAAAUGCCGC